GCUGUCUCCACCCGAGACUCAGUGAAAUUGAACUCGCUGUGAAGAUGCAGUGUACCCGCGGCAAGACGGAAAGACCCCGUGAACCUUUACUAUAGCUUGACACUGAACAUUGAGCCUUGAUGUGUAGGAUAGGUGGGAGGCUUUGAAGUGUGGACGCCAGUCUGCAUGGAGCCGACCUUGAAAUACCACCCUUUAAUGUUUGAUGUUCUAACGUGGACCCGUGAUCCGGGUUGCGGACAGUGUCUGGUGGGUAGUUUGACUGGGGCGGUCUCCUCCUAAAGAGUAACGGAGGAGCACGAAGGUUGGCUAAUCCUGGUCGGACAUCAGGAGGUUAGUGCAAUGGCAUAAGCCAGCUUGACUGCGAGCGUGACGGCGCGAGCAGGUGCGAAAGCAGGUCAUAGUGAUCCGGUGGUUCUGAAUGGAAGGGCCAUCGCUCAACGGAUAAAAGGUACUCCGGGGAUAACAGGCUGAUACCGCCCAAGAGUUCAUAUCGACGGCGGUGUUUGGCACCUCGAUGUCGGCUCAUCACAUCCUGGGGCUGAAGUAGGUCCCAAGGGUAUGGCUGUUCGCCAUUUAAAGUGGUACGCGAGCUGGGUUUAGAACGUCGUGAGACAGUUCGGUCCCUAUCUGCCGUGGGCGCUGGAGAACUGAGGGGGGCUGCUCCUAGUACGAGAGGACCGGAGUGGACGCAUCACUGGUGUUCGGGUUGUCAUGCCAAUGGCACU
Molecule: ribosomal RNA, 725 nt
Filed under: Salmonella enterica subsp. enterica serovar Anatum
Lineage: Bacteria; Pseudomonadati; Pseudomonadota; Gammaproteobacteria; Enterobacterales; Enterobacteriaceae
Description: partial 23S ribosomal RNA
Rfam family: Bacterial large subunit ribosomal RNA
Source: RNAcentral